Molecule: ribosomal RNA, 497 nt
Filed under: uncultured bacterium
Lineage: Bacteria
Description: partial 16S ribosomal RNA
Rfam family: Bacterial small subunit ribosomal RNA
Source: RNAcentral
GAUGAACGCUGGCGGCGUGCCUAAUACAUGCAAGUCGAGCGAACGGACGAGGAGCUUGCUCCUUCGACGUUAGCGGCGGACGGGUGAGUAACACGUAGGUAACCUACCUAUAAGACUGGGAUAACUUCGGGAAACCGGAGCUAAUACCGGAUAAUAUUUCGAACCGCAUGGUUCGAUAGUGAAAGAUGGCUUUGCUAUCACUUAUAGAUGGACCUGCGCCGUAUUAGCUAGUUGGUAAGGUAACGGCUUACCAAGGCAACGAUACGUAGCCGACCUGAGAGGGUGAUCGGCCACACUGGAACCGAGACACGGUCCAGACUCCUACGGGAGGCAGCAGUAGGGAAUCUUCCGCAAUGGGCGAAAGCCUGACGGAGCAACGCCGCGUGAGUGAUGAAGGUCUUCGGAUCGUAAAACUCUGUUAUUAGGGAAGAACAAACGUGUAAGUAACUGUGCACGUCUUGACGGUACCUAAUCAGAAAGCCACGGCUAACUACGUG